This is a long non-coding RNA of Amblyraja radiata (thorny skate), 132 nucleotides long. RefSeq lists it as uncharacterized. The record is from RefSeq and is a predicted model, not a curated record. The transcript is spliced from 3 exons. Lineage: Eukaryota; Metazoa; Chordata; Chondrichthyes; Rajiformes; Rajidae.
GUGGAAGGGGCAACAGCCAAAGCCAGCAGUGUUAUCAGCUUUCUACGUCACAAUCUGCAAAAUGCACCCAAAGAAGUUAAGAUCCAAGCAUAUAAAAGCCUUGUUACAAUGUGGAUAAAUACCUGGGUGUGC